AACGAACGCUGGCGGCAGGCCUAACACAUGCGAGUCGAGCGAGGACUUCGGUUCUAGCGGCGGACGGGUGAGUAACGCGUGGGAAUGUGCCCUUCUCUACGGAAUAGCCCUGGGAAACUGGGAGUAAUACCGUAUACGCCCUAUUGGGGAAAGAUUUAUCGGAGAAGGAUCAGCCCGCGUUGGAUUAGGUAGUUGGUGGGGUAAUGGCCUACCAAGCCGACGAUCCAUAGCUGGUUUGAGAGGAUGACCAGCCACACUGGGACUGAGACACGGCCCAGACUCCUACGGGAGGCAGCAGUGGGGAAUCUUAGACAAUGGGGGCAACCCUGAUCUAGCCAUGCCGCGUGAGUGAUGAAGGCCUUAGGGUUGUAAAGCUCUUUCAGCUGGGAAGAUAAUGACGGUACCAGCAGAAGAAGCCCCGGCUAACUCCGUG
RNAcentral lists this ribosomal RNA (433 nucleotides) under uncultured bacterium. Its description in RNAcentral is "partial 16S ribosomal RNA". It matches the Rfam family "Bacterial small subunit ribosomal RNA", at positions 29 to 507 of the family's 1533-position model. The record is from RNAcentral.